Lingula anatina is the source of this 289-nucleotide long non-coding RNA. The record is from RefSeq and is a predicted model, not a curated record. Lineage: Eukaryota; Metazoa; Brachiopoda; Lingulata; Lingulida; Lingulidae.
AAGCUCCCUAGAGCUGGUCGCUGCCCCUUAACUGGGAAGAAAUACGCCUCAGACCAAGGAACGCUUGUGUACUGCCAGUUCCAUAAUGGAGGUCUCUGAUCUUUCUACGGGAACUGACAAUCUCUCCCUGAGUGAGAUGGACAUAUCUUUAUCUGAUGACAUCACAACACCAAAAGUUGACAAUGAUACGAACGGAUCUUUAGAGGACGGCAAUGCAACGGAACCUAUGUGUGUGCUUCUUCAAGAAAAAUAUCAUGCAUUUUUGGCUCAUAGUAAUACUGAUGCUAAG